GGUAAGGGUGGAAAGGUGAGGUAAGAGCUCACCAGCAGUCUGGUAACAGGCUGGCUCGGUAAACCCCAUCCGGAGCAAGACCGAAUAGGGAAGGGUUAACGGUGGUCCCGCCUACCUUCCGGGUUGUGUCGCUCGAGCGUGCAGGCGACUGUACGCCUAGAAAGAUAAUCGUCACCGCGCAAGCGGAACAGAACUCGGCUUAAUGAUUGCUUGCUUCU
RNAcentral lists this RNase P RNA (218 nucleotides) under Veillonella sp. RNAcentral's name for it is "partial RNase P RNA component class A". It matches the Rfam family "Bacterial RNase P class A", at positions 147 to 367 of the family's 367-position model. Rfam says of the family: Ribonuclease P (RNase P) is a ubiquitous endoribonuclease, found in archaea, bacteria and eukarya as well as chloroplasts and mitochondria. Its best characterised activity is the generation of mature 5'-ends of tRNAs by cleaving the 5'-leader elements of precursor-tRNAs. The record is from RNAcentral. Lineage: Bacteria; Bacillati; Bacillota; Negativicutes; Veillonellales; Veillonellaceae.